This 282-nucleotide unclassified non-coding RNA is filed under the name plant metagenome. RNAcentral's name for it is "partial contains small subunit ribosomal RNA, internal transcribed spacer 1, and 5.8S ribosomal RNA". The stretch from base 235 to 282 matches the Rfam family "5.8S ribosomal RNA", at positions 1 to 49 of the family's 154-position model. The record is from RNAcentral.
UUUCCGUAGGUGAACCUGCGGAAGGAUCAUUAUUGUAUAACCGAGGUGCGAGGGCUGUCGCUGACCCGAAAGGUCGUGCACGCCCGAGUGCCCUCACACACAUCCACCUCACCCCUAUGUGCACCACCGCGUGGGUCCCCCUUUGGCUUGUUCGGAGGGGGGCUUACGUUUUCACACGAACUCUGUAUGCAGUGUAGAAUGUAUUUUUUGUUUUUGCGAUCACGCAAUCAAUACAACUCUCAACAACGGAUCUCUUGGCUCUCGCAUCGAUGAGAACGCAGC